UGGGGAAUAUUGCACAAUGGGCGAAAGCCUGAUGCAGCAACGCCGCGUGAAGGAAGACGGUUUUCGGAUUGUAAACUUCUAUCAAUAGGGAAGAAAGAAAUGACGGUACCUAAAUAAGAAGCCCCGGCUAACUACGUGCC
RNAcentral lists this ribosomal RNA (140 nucleotides) under uncultured bacterium. RNAcentral's name for it is "partial 16S ribosomal RNA". It matches the Rfam family "Bacterial small subunit ribosomal RNA", at positions 355 to 509 of the family's 1533-position model. The record is from RNAcentral.